Molecule: non-coding RNA, 252 nt
Filed under: Streptomyces caelestis
Lineage: Bacteria; Bacillati; Actinomycetota; Actinomycetes; Kitasatosporales; Streptomycetaceae
Description: Streptomyces sRNA 4677
Rfam family: Streptomyces sRNA 4677
About the family: Located in the intergenic region between anti-sigma factor SCO4677 gene and a putative regulatory protein gene SCO4676. scr4677 expression requires the SCO4677 activity and scr4677 sRNA itself seem to affect the levels of the SCO4676-associated transcripts.
Source: Rfam by way of RNAcentral
CGCUCCGGUGCCGUCGACGACUGAAAGACAAAGAACUUCAGGGAAAACACCCCCCGCCAAACCCCACCCCUCCCGCCCGUGGUCGCGCUCACUCGGGCGGGUGAACAUCCUCGAACCGGCUGGAUUUCGCGGCCCCCAAGGGGCGACGCUCAGCGCAACGCACCACCGCAACCACAGACAUGAGACGGCCCCCGCCGGGACGGACAAUCCCGGUGCGAGGGCCUGACCACCGAGGAAGAAGAAGGCUUCCCG